Molecule: unclassified non-coding RNA, 1635 nt
Filed under: Hevea brasiliensis (rubber tree)
Lineage: Eukaryota; Viridiplantae; Streptophyta; Magnoliopsida; Malpighiales; Euphorbiaceae
Source: RNAcentral
CAAAUGUUGAGGGAAUUUCACCACUUAAUCCACAGCUAUUAAUAUAUAUCUGCUCAAGUUUGACUAAGUUACCGAUUUCUGGAGGUAGAGUCCCAGAGAAAUUGUUUACACCAAGGGACCUAUUUCUCAUAUAUCCACAGAAGAACACAAUGACAAGUUUAGUACUAUUCAAACUAAUAACAGAUACUGCACAUAUAUGAAGUAUGCAUUCAAGAAGUUCAGUAAUCUCUUGGAAUCAAAUCAGUAACACAGCAAGCUAUUGUUGCAAACGCCUAAGAAAGCAAUGAUUUUUCAAAAAUAAGAGCAGCAGUAGCUCCAAUAUCUACAACCUCUAUGGCGAAACUACAAACAUCUAACAAGCAUAAUUAUGUAGCCAAAUAAUUUACCACCAAAUGGGGAGAAUGACCUUUGAAAACAAAAUGAUACAAGCCAUGGUCACAACAUUUGAUAGCAACAAACCAAAACCAAUUGAUUAAAGACCAUAAAAAAGAAAAGGGAAAUUGCAAUUGCAAUUGCCCAUUAAAGGCCAUAAAGAGCAAUGUAUGCCAUAAAUCAUAUAAUAUCAAUGUUUACAACAUUCCCAAACUUUUAAAUAUUCCUAUCAAGCCACUGUAGAAAAUAUUACAAGUUUAAUAUCCAUUAAAAACUUGUCAUUUUCAUAUGGAGAAAAAUUGCAAUUCUAAACUUAUUACAAAAUUGCUUUAAACUCACCAUUUAAAAGAGUUCCUACAAAUACUUUAAAACAAAUAAUUAUGAAAAUAUUUAUAAAAGGUAGAAAAGAUUUAUAAAAUUUAUUGGGAGGGUUAAAACAUCGUGUUUCUAUUUGUUCUUAUAUAUGAAGUGACCACUGACACAUUAAUUUCUGAUACACAAGUGUAAUAAUAAAUUAGUGAUAAAAUAAGUGAGAAUAAAAAAAGAGAAACUUAAAAUAAUUACAAUUUUUAAAUAUUAAUAAUAAAGUUAAAUAAAAAAAAAUAUUCAUAUAACUAAACCCAAUUAGUUUAAAAUUAAGAAUUACUUGUUAUUAUUGUUUAUUUCAUGAAUAAGACAAAUCUCAAACAUAAAAGAAAAUGGAUAUGGAUAUGAUAUUUUCACAAAAAAGUAAUCGAUUUUUUAUUUCAAUCUUACAGCAAAGUUAGAUCUUUCAAGUUUCCAAGUUCCUUCGGGAUCGUCCCAGAAAAUGCAUUGUGAGCAAUUGACAAACCCCUUAAUGCAGUUAAAUUUCCAAUAAAUGCAGGCAACGGACCCGUGAAAUAAUUUUUGUCAAUUUUCAGAAAAAUUAGUUUUUUCAAAACUAGAAUUUCUUCCGGAAUCACUCCUUGUCUGUUCAAAUCAUACACUCUCAAUCGAAUGAUGUGGCAGGUAGUACCAUCAUUGUAGGUGCAAUCGCAUUUGAUGGCUGGAUUGUUGCCAACAGCUUCAAAAUCUGAUUGGUCAAUGGCAGUUCCAGUGCAUGGCUCUCCACUUAUAUUCCACAGUGCCACCGAUUGUGUAUCCCAUUGCUGGAAUAUCGAGUUUAGAGCCCUCACUUCAUCUGGAUCUGUAGUAGCAUUUUGAGCACCGGAAAUGUGAAGUUGAGAGGAAAAGAUGAAGUAGAUACAACAGAAGACCACUGAAGAAGGUUGCAGCAGCUUC